UACGAAGGGGGCUAGCGUUGUUCGGAUUUACUGGGCGUAAAGCGCACGUAGGCGGUUUGUUAAGUGAGAGGUGAAAUCCCAGAGCUCAACUCUGGAACUGCCUUUCAUACUGGCAAGCUAGAGUCCGGAAGAGGUAAGUGGAACUCCUAGUGUAGAGGUGGAAUUCGUAGAUAUUAGGAAGAACACCAGUGGCGAAGGCGGCUACUGGUCCGGAACUGACGCUGAGGUGCGAAAGCGUGGGGAGCAAACAGG
RNAcentral lists this ribosomal RNA (252 nucleotides) under uncultured bacterium. Its description in RNAcentral is "partial 16S ribosomal RNA". It matches the Rfam family "Bacterial small subunit ribosomal RNA", at positions 524 to 776 of the family's 1533-position model. The record is from RNAcentral.